GUCCACGCCGUAAACUAUGGACACUUGGUGUCGGAGGUAUUGACCCCUUCGGUGCCGUAGCUAACGCGUUAAGUGUCCCGCCUGGGGAGUACGGUCGCAAGAUUAAAACUCAAAGAAAUUGACGGGGGCCCGCACAAGCGGUGGAGCAUGUGGUUUAAUUCGAUGCAACGCGAAAUACCUUACCUGGGUUUGAAUUGCAAUGGACAGCUCUAGAGAUAGAGUCUUUCUUCGGAACUGUUGUGAAGGUGCUGCAUGGCU
This 258-nucleotide ribosomal RNA is filed under the name uncultured bacterium. RNAcentral's name for it is "partial 16S ribosomal RNA". It matches the Rfam family "Bacterial small subunit ribosomal RNA", at positions 793 to 1050 of the family's 1533-position model. The record is from RNAcentral.